GGCUGUCGCUGACCCUUUUAAAGUCGUGCACGCCUCGAGCACUCUCACUCAUGUCCAUCACACCCUUGUGCAUCACCGCGUGGGCUCCAUUAAAAAAGGGGCCUGCGUUUUUCUUACAUGGACGCCCAGUCGUAGGAUGUUCAUUAUGUGAUUAGUACAUGAUCAAUACAACUUUCAACAACGGAUCUCUUGGCUCUCGCAUCGAUGAAGAACGCAGCGAAAUGCGAUAUGUAAUGUGAAUUGCAGAAUUCAGUGAAUCAUCGAAUCUUUGAACGCACCUUGCGCCUCUUGGCAUUCCGAGGGGCACACCCGUUUGAGUGUCGUGAAAUCCUCAACCUUUCACCGUUUCUUUGAUCGGAGAAGGCUUGGACUUUGGAGGCUAUUGCUGGCUCUCCCCUCUACGGGGCCAGCUCCUCUUAAAUCAAUUAGCAGGGUCUCCUUUGCUGAUCCUGGGACGUGAUAAGCUGCUUCUACGUCUCCGGGUUUGGCUUCUCUUGCCUUGCUUCUAAUCUGUCGGACUUUUUACCUUUUGACCUCAAAUCGGGUGAGACUACCCGCUGAACUUAAGCAUAUCAAUAAGCGGAGGAAAAGAAACUAACGAGGAUUCCCCUAGUAACUGCGAGUGAAGCGGGAAAAGCUCAAAUUUAAAAUCUGGCGGUCUUUGGCCGUCCGAGUUGUAAUUUAGAGAAGCGUCUUCCGCACCGGGCCAUGCACAAGUCUCCUGGAAUGGAGCCUCAUAGAGGGUGAGAAUCCCGUCUCUGGCAUGGACCCUCCGGUGCUUCUGUGAUGCGCUCUCGAAGAGUCGAGUUGUUUGGGAAUGCAGCUCAAAAUGGGUGGUGAACUCCAUCUAAAGCUAAAUAUUGGCGAGAGACCGAUAGCGAACAAGUACCGUGAGGGAAAGAUGAAAAGCACUUUGGAAAGAGAGUGAAACAGUACGUGAAAUUGUUGAAAGGGAAACGCUUCAAGUCAGUCGCGUUGACCGAGACUCAGCCUUGCCCUUGGCUUGGCGUACUUCUCGGCUGACGGGCCAGCAUCAAUUUUGUCCCUCGGAUAAUGGCAAGGGAAAGGUGGCACCCUUUUGGGUGUGUUAUAGUCUCCUGUCGCAUGCGAGGGGUGGGAUUGAGGACCUCAGCACGCACCUCUUGGUGUCGGGGCUUCGGCCCACGCUA
This 1169-nucleotide ribosomal RNA is filed under the name Lactifluus panuoides. Its description in RNAcentral is "eukaryotic LSU rRNA". The stretch from base 531 to 1169 matches the Rfam family "Eukaryotic large subunit ribosomal RNA", at positions 1 to 606 of the family's 3401-position model. Lineage: Eukaryota; Fungi; Basidiomycota; Agaricomycetes; Russulales; Russulaceae. The record is from RNAcentral.